RNAcentral lists this long non-coding RNA (1784 nucleotides) under Triticum aestivum (bread wheat). Its description in RNAcentral is "long non-coding RNA (TAES_LNC027671)". Lineage: Eukaryota; Viridiplantae; Streptophyta; Magnoliopsida; Poales; Poaceae. The record is from RNAcentral.
AUAUCAAGCUAUUAAAAGACAAGAAAAUAUACUCACAAGAGGAAGAAAUCAUAUAUUGGAUAAAAUUGUUGGAUUACAGUAGUGGAUAUUACAGGAGGAAGAGCAUCCAAAUGUGAUGCAAAUCUAAAUAUUUUCUCGACAAAGAAACUUAAACUAAAAGCAUCCAUAAACAUCCCUGAUACUUAACUAAAACAUAACCGAGGAACAUCAUCGAAUAGGAACAACAUCCCUACAACUUAACUAAAACUGAAAGCAUCCAUCAUCAUCAUCAUGAACUGGAACAUCAUCAUCAUCAUCAUCAUCAUCAUCAUCAUCAUCACAUCGCAGUGUACUUGCCAUGCACCCAUAUAAUCAUCCAUGUAUAUUUUGACUCUACAAAGAAAAUGACAAAAUGAACCGUUAACACACAGUGCAUUAAGAAGUAAGAACCACUUUGCGCACACUUACUGCUCAUCAGCACAUUUUUUUGGUCUGGACAACAGUCUAAUAGCAAAUAAGAAGAAACAAAUAAACAAGAUAGCACUACAAUUUGAACACAAAUUCGUAUGUGAUUAUGAGAAGAUAGCAGCAUGAGUGUUAGUUGUCCUUGAUGACUAAUCCAGACGCCACAAUAUACGACACAACCUGCAAAAAACAUGGCUAAAUAAAAUUAUAUAGACAUUGGCCUAAGUGAUGUGCAUAGGGCAAUGUGAUUGACAGUACCACUUCUCUUUUCUUCUCCAGUUAGUUAGCAAACUAGACCAAAACGGCUUCUCAUCUGAAACUGAACCAAAACAUCUAUUUCUAGUUGGUUUCGGUCAUCCAACAGGAAAUAGGGAAACCUAUAAGUGCUCACCACGCUUUGAAACCAACCUACAACCCCAAAUCCACUGAAAUUAAUUUACAUGGUCAUCACCAGCCUAGAGAGACAUCGCUAAUUCUUUAGAUCUACAGUAAAACUGUUUUCUGUGAACCAAUAGAUCUAUUUAUUUCUAAAUAAAUCCACUGAAACCUACAGCCCCAAAUCUUAUAAAUGUGCGUCGACAGUAGCACAGAACCUAGCACAGCUCAAUGGCCAUGGACACAACGAGCAGUAGCACGGUAAGGAGAGGGAGAGAGUUUACCUUCAAUGGCAUCGUCCAUGACUUGCUACACGAACUUGACUUGCUCCAUGGCGUCCCCCUUCAUCGAGUUGGAAUACCUAGUUGAUUUUAAUUAUACUAAGAUUCUUUCAUGUGAAACUAAAUAGUGGAAUUAAUACAUGCAACACACAAUAUAGGCCUAACACACUAACUUGUAUUGAAAUUGCUGACAGAGUAACUAAUUUGUAGUGGAAUGGCCAAAAGAGUACCUUAUAUAGGGACAACCUGUAGGUGAUUAUUUCCUUGUAGUGUAUUUCAUGAGUACAGGAUGAUAGUAUUAAAAAAAAUAGUCCAUCAAGGUUAUCCUUGUAUCUAGUUUGUUCUUUCCCUUUCCAUAAAGAAUUUGCAGAACUAAACCAUUAGUUCUUUCCAGAUUUUAUACAUGUAAUAGGCAGAAUAGAAGUUGUUCCUGACUUUUAGUGGAGAAUAGUAUCCGAAGAAAUACAUCUAUAGAAGCACUGUGUCCUGAACUCAUGUUAACCACAAUAACAAUAUCCUUUUUAGUUGAAAAGGUAAACUUCUAAUAUUUAAAUAUUAUUCAUGAUUUUUAAAGGAUAUAGCGAGAUACCAUGUUGACAAAAAGAUAAUACAACUGUGAUUUAUUUUAACUAGAAGUGCAUAUGAAUACAUAACAGAAUUUAUAUUGGAGACUGUACUGAGGUA